CAAAAAGUAGCUUAUAGCAAAGCCUCUCGCUUACAUCGAGAAGAUGUCUGCUCAACCAGACCAUUUUGA
Molecule: transfer RNA, 69 nt
Filed under: Occidozyga cf. laevis JF-2021
Lineage: Eukaryota; Metazoa; Chordata; Amphibia; Anura; Dicroglossidae
Description: tRNA-Val
Rfam family: tRNA
About the family: Transfer RNA (tRNA) molecules are approximately 80 nucleotides in length.
Source: RNAcentral